RNAcentral lists this ribosomal RNA (460 nucleotides) under uncultured bacterium. RNAcentral's name for it is "partial 16S ribosomal RNA". It matches the Rfam family "Bacterial small subunit ribosomal RNA", at positions 338 to 795 of the family's 1533-position model. The record is from RNAcentral.
CCUACGGGAGGCAGCAGUGAGGAAUAUUGGUCAAUGGACGAGAGUCUGAACCAGCCAAGUAGCGUGAAGGAUGACUGCCCUAUGGGUUGUAAACCUCUUUUAUCUGGGAGUAAAAUGUUCCACGUGUGGGAUUUUGUAUGUACCAUAUGAAUAAGGAUCGGCUAACUCCGUGCCAGCAGCCGCGGUAAUACGGAGGAUCCGAGCGUUAUCCGGAUUUAUUGGGUUUAAAGGGAGCGUAGGUGGAUUGUUAAGUCAGUUGUUAAAGUUUGGGGCUCAACCGUAAAAUUGCAGUUGAAACUGGCAGUCUUGAGUACGGUAGAGGUGGGCGGAAUGCGUGGUGUAGCGGUGAAAUGCUUAGAUAUCACGAAGAACUCCGAUUGCGAAGGUAGCUCACUGGACUGCAACUGACACUGAGGCUCGAAAGUGUGGGUAUCAAACAGGAUUAGAUACCCUUGUAGUC